This 594-nucleotide ribosomal RNA is filed under the name Prevotella sp. oral taxon G57. Its description in RNAcentral is "bacterial SSU rRNA". It matches the Rfam family "Bacterial small subunit ribosomal RNA", at positions 407 to 1001 of the family's 1533-position model. Lineage: Bacteria; Pseudomonadati; Bacteroidota; Bacteroidia; Bacteroidales; Prevotellaceae. The record is from RNAcentral.
GAUGACGGCCCUACGGGUUGUAAACUGCUUUUAUGCGGGGAUAAAGUGAGGGACGUGUCCCUUUUUGCAGGUACCGCAUGAAUAAGGACCGGCUAAUUCCGUGCCAGCAGCCGCGGUAAUACGGAAGGUCCGGGCGUUAUCCGGAUUUAUUGGGUUUAAAGGGAGCGUAGGCCGGGGAUUAAGUGUGUUGUGAAAUGUAGGCGCCCAACGUCUGACUUGCAGCGCAUACUGGUUCCCUUGAGUACGCGCAACGCCGGCGGAAUUCGUCGUGUAUCGGUGAAAUGCUUAGAUAUGACGAAGAACCCCGAUUGCGAAGGCAGCCGGCGGGAGCGCAACUGACGCUGAAGCUCGAAGGUGCGGGUAUCGAACAGGAUUAGAUACCCUGGUAGUCCGCACGGUAAACGAUGGAUGCCCGCUGUCGGCGCCUUGCGCCGGCGGCCAAGCGAAAGCGUUAAGCAUCCCACCUGGGGAGUACGCCGGCAACGGUGAAACUCAAAGGAAUUGACGGGGGCCCGCACAAGCGGAGGAACAUGUGGUUUAAUUCGAUGAUACGCGAGGGACCUUACCCGGGCUUGAAUCGCAUGAGAACGAAAC